RNAcentral lists this ribosomal RNA (261 nucleotides) under uncultured prokaryote. RNAcentral's name for it is "partial 16S ribosomal RNA". It matches the Rfam family "Bacterial small subunit ribosomal RNA", at positions 524 to 784 of the family's 1533-position model. The record is from RNAcentral.
UACGGAGGAUGCAAGCGUUAUCCGGAAUUAUUGGGCGUAAAGAGCGCGCAGGUGGUUGAUUAAGUCUGAUGUGAAAGCCCACGGCUUAACCGUGGAGGGUCAUUGGAAACUGGUCGACUUGAGUGCAGAAGGGGGAAGUGGAAUUCCAUGUGUAGCGGUGAAAUGCGUAGAGAUAUGGAGGAACACCAGUGGCGAAGGCGGCUUCCUGGUCUGUAACUGACACUGAGGCGCGAAAGCGUGGGGAGCAAACAGGAUUAGAUA